Molecule: long non-coding RNA, 397 nt
Filed under: Salvia miltiorrhiza (redroot sage)
Lineage: Eukaryota; Viridiplantae; Streptophyta; Magnoliopsida; Lamiales; Lamiaceae
Description: long non-coding RNA (SMIL_LNC011907)
Source: RNAcentral
GAACAAAGUGCAAAAUGCUCAAGCUGAAGGCAGAAUUAUGCAGAAUUUUGUGGUUCACUCUCAGUCUGAUGCAGCUCGAGCUAUGUCGGCUGUGGCUGGAGGUGUAAUGUCUCAUUCUCCUCCUGACACUGUUCGGCCUAAGAAAAAAUGGGGAGACAUGUUGGACGAUGAAGACUCUUUGGAUGGAGACGUUUGUUUUUUCUCGGGUCCUCUGUGAUCCGGUCCUUUGUUGCGUGUGCUCUCAUGGUUUUUUGAUCUUUUUUUCUUUUUUCUUUUCUGCAGUUAGGGGUUUUUGUUUCUUUUUGAGCUCUCUUUCCUGAGGCUCACUCCUUUGUGUGCGCCUGUGCUUUCAAGGGUUUUCUGCUUUUCUUUUUUUCAAUAAACUUUCCAUUUCAGC